GACGAACGCUGGCGGCGUGCUUAACACAUGCAAGUCGAACGGAAAGGCCCUGAUUUUGCGGGGUGCUCGAGUGGCGAACGGGUGAGUAACACGUGAGUAACCUGCCCUUGACUUUGGGAUAACUUCAGGAAACUGGGGCUAAUACCGGAUAGGAGCUCCUGCUGCAUGGUGGGGGUUGGAAAGUUUCGGCGGUUGGGGAUGGACUCGCGGCUUAUCAGCUUGUUGGUGGGGUAGUGGCUUACCAAGGCUUUGACGGGUAGCCGGCCUGAGCGGGUGACCGGCGACAGUGGGACUGAGAGACGGACCAGACUCCUACGGGCGGCAGCAGUGGGAAAUAUUACACAAUGGGCGGAAGCGUGAUGCAGCAACGCCGCGUGCGUGAUGACGGCCUUCGGGGUAAAAACCGCUUUCGCCGGUGACGAAGCGUGAGUGACGGUAAUGGGAAAAGAAGCACCGGCUAACUACGUG
This 468-nucleotide ribosomal RNA is filed under the name uncultured bacterium. Its description in RNAcentral is "partial 16S ribosomal RNA". It matches the Rfam family "Bacterial small subunit ribosomal RNA", at positions 28 to 507 of the family's 1533-position model. The record is from RNAcentral.